GCUCCUAUAGCUCAAUGGUAGAGCGCCGGUCCCGUAAACCGAGGAUGCCGUUUCAACUACGGCUGGGAGCUCCA
This is a transfer RNA of 74 nucleotides. It matches the Rfam family "tRNA". From Rfam's summary of the family: Transfer RNA (tRNA) molecules are approximately 80 nucleotides in length. Their secondary structure includes four short double-helical elements and three loops (D, anti-codon, and T loops).